Regulatory RNA element from Psychromonas ingrahamii 37, 122 nucleotides. It matches the Rfam family "Histidine operon leader". Rfam says of the family: At least 6 amino acid operons are known to be regulated by attenuation. In each a leader sequence of 150-200 bp is found upstream of the first gene in the operon. The record is from Rfam. Lineage: Bacteria; Pseudomonadati; Pseudomonadota; Gammaproteobacteria; Alteromonadales; Psychromonadaceae.
AUCACUGCACCAUCAUAUUAUCUAAUCUUUCAGGAUCUUAUUCUUGGGAGAAUUUUUGCGUUCUUCCAGAGGUUACCAAUAAAAUAAACCCCCGGAAGUCCGCCUCCCGAGGGUUUUUUAGU